RNAcentral lists this ribosomal RNA (29 nucleotides) under Prorocentrum mexicanum. RNAcentral describes it as "partial 28S ribosomal RNA". Lineage: Eukaryota; Dinophyceae; Prorocentrales; Prorocentraceae. The record is from RNAcentral.
GACAUGAAGUUAGGUCAGCAAACCUGCUG